Molecule: unclassified non-coding RNA, 252 nt
Filed under: uncultured fungus
Lineage: Eukaryota; Fungi
Description: sequence contains ITS1, 5.8S rRNA gene
Rfam family: 5.8S ribosomal RNA (bases 204-252)
Source: RNAcentral
UUUCCGUAGGUGAACCUGCGGAAGGAUCAUUACCGAGUUUUUGAUUGCUAGUCAGUCAAACUCCCAUCCUUUGUUUAUUAUGUCUUCUUCGGCGAGACGUUUUAUCUCGAUAAGCCACUGGACUGGAGACAGUCGAGUGAGUGCUUGCCGAAGGCCUUUUUAACUCUAUCUUUUGAAGUCUGAGUCUAAAGAAAAUAAAUUAAAACUUUCAACAACGGAUCUCUUGGUUCUGGCAUCGAUGAAGAACGCAGC